Molecule: transfer RNA, 65 nt
Filed under: Smaragdina concolor
Lineage: Eukaryota; Metazoa; Arthropoda; Insecta; Coleoptera; Chrysomelidae
Description: tRNA-Ala
Source: RNAcentral
AGGAUAGUAGUUAAUUAUAACAUUUAAUUUGCACUUAAAAAGUAUUGUCUUUUCAAUCUAUCUUA